RNAcentral lists this ribosomal RNA (433 nucleotides) under uncultured bacterium. RNAcentral describes it as "partial 16S ribosomal RNA". It matches the Rfam family "Bacterial small subunit ribosomal RNA", at positions 29 to 507 of the family's 1533-position model. The record is from RNAcentral.
AACGAACGCUGGCGGCAUGCCUAACACAUGCAAGUCGAACGAGACCUUCGGGUCUAGUGGCGCACGGGUGCGUAACGCGUGGGAACCCGCCCUUAGGUUCGGAAUAACUCCCCGAAAGGGGUGCUAAUACCGGAUAAUGUCUUCGGACCAAAGAUUUAUCGCCUUUGGAUGGGCCCGCGUUGGAUUAGCUAGUUGGUAGGGUAAAAGCCUACCAAGGCGACGAUCCAUAGCUGGUCUGAGAGGAUGAUCAGCCACACUGGGACUGAGACACGGCCCAGACUCCUACGGGAGGCAGCAGUGGGGAAUAUUGGACAAUGGGCGAAAGCCUGAUCCAGCAAUGCCGCGCGAGUGAUGAAGGCCUUAGGGUUGUAAAGCUCUUUUACCCGGGAUGAUAAUGACAGUACCGGGAGAAUAAGCUCCGGCUAACUCCGUG